Molecule: ribosomal RNA, 406 nt
Filed under: Faecalimonas nexilis
Lineage: Bacteria; Bacillati; Bacillota; Clostridia; Lachnospirales; Lachnospiraceae
Description: partial 23S ribosomal RNA
Rfam family: Bacterial large subunit ribosomal RNA
Source: RNAcentral
AAUCAUCGGGGACCAUCCCGAAAGGCUAAACACUACUCUGUGACCGAUAGCGAACCAGUACCGUGAGGGAAAGGUGAAAAGAACCCCGGGAGGGGAGUGAAAGAGAACCUGAAACCGCAUGCCCACAAGAAGUCAGAGCCCGUCAAAGGGUGAUGGCGUGCCUUUUGUAGAAUGAGCCGGCGAGUCACGAUCAGCAGGCGAGGUUAAGCAGGAGAUGCGGAGCCGCAGCGAAAGCGAGUCUUAACAGGGCGGAAUAGUCUGAGGUCGUGGACCCGAAACCGGGUGAUCUAGCCAUGAGCAGGUUGAAGUCGGGGUAAGACCCGAUGGAGGACCGAACCGACCCCCGUUGAAACGUUGGCGGAUGACUUGUGGCUAGGGGUGAAAUUCCAAUCGAACCCGGAGAUAG